Molecule: transfer RNA, 73 nt
Filed under: Heterocephalus glaber (naked mole-rat)
Lineage: Eukaryota; Metazoa; Chordata; Mammalia; Rodentia; Bathyergidae
Rfam family: tRNA
About the family: Transfer RNA (tRNA) molecules are approximately 80 nucleotides in length.
Source: Rfam by way of RNAcentral
AGCAGUGUAGCUCAGAGGGUAGAGCACUGUCCUGACAUGUGAGAGGCCCUGGGUUCAAUCCCCAGCAAUGGUU